GAUGAACGCUGGCGGCGUGCCUAAUACAUGCAAGUCGAGCGAACGGACGAGAAGCUUGCUUCUCUGAUGUUAGCGGCGGACGGGUGAGUAACACGUGGAUAACCUACCUAUAAGACUGGGAUAACUUCGGGAAACCGUAGCUAAUACCGGAUAAUAUUUUGAACCGCAUGGUUCAAAAGUGAAAGGCGGUCUUGCUGUCACUUAUAGAUGGAUCCGCGCUGCAUUAGCUAGUUGGUAAGGUAACGGCUUACCAAGGCAACGAUGCAUAGCCGACCUGAGAGGGUGAUCGGCCACACUGGAACUGAGACACGGUCCAGACUCCUACGGGAGGCAGCAGUAGGGAAUCUUCCGCAAAGGGCGAAAGCCUGACGGAGCAACGCCGCGUGAGUGAUGAAGGUCUUCGGAUCGUAAAACUCUGUUAUUAGGGAAGAACAUAUGUGUAAGUAACUGUGCACAUCUUGACGGUACCUAAUCAGAAAGCCACGGCUAACUACGUG
RNAcentral lists this ribosomal RNA (497 nucleotides) under uncultured bacterium. RNAcentral describes it as "partial 16S ribosomal RNA". It matches the Rfam family "Bacterial small subunit ribosomal RNA", at positions 28 to 507 of the family's 1533-position model. The record is from RNAcentral.